UUAUACUACUUCCGGUCCAUGGCGAACGAUCAAUGGACCUUCUCGUUUUGAGGAAAUUUAGACCAUAUUUUGCAACGAUUCUGUAUCCAACACUUGUUCUAUCAUACAUUGGCUGGGAUCUUAAUCACACAAGAAUCUUCAAAGCAAAGAAAAGAGCAGAAGCCAAAGCAAAAGGGGCAACUGUUUAGUUUGGCAAAUACUAGUUUCAUCAAGAUGGCUGCUGGUACUGUUGCAAGAUCAAGAAGCGUGAUGCUGAACCCACGCUUCUUCAAGUACUACCUCCACCUGGGAAGUGUAACAACUUUGUUCUUCUUUGGGGGAUGUGUUGAUAAAUGGUGGAUUGAUAAGGAAAUGUCAACAUUCAGGAAUAAGUCUGGAUGUUUUCCUCCACGAGAUCUUGGGCCUGGUAACAAAUAUUGGUGAUUUGGAGGAUCAUGAAGGCAUGGAAUAAGCUCCAUGUUUGUGUGUAUAGAUUAUUUCAAUCUUUUUGUGUUGUAUCAAAGAAAUACAAGGACUGUUUACAAUAGAUAUGGCCACAGUGACUAGUAGUAUUGACAGUCUUAUCAGCAGACUUAAUAGUCAAUUGAUAAAAUGUAAAUUGUGAAAGGUUAUUAAAGAUUUGAAAAAUAA
Molecule: long non-coding RNA, 630 nt
Organism: Ylistrum balloti
Lineage: Eukaryota; Metazoa; Mollusca; Bivalvia; Pectinida; Pectinidae
Exons: 3
Source: RefSeq, a predicted model, not a curated record